This 1917-nucleotide unclassified non-coding RNA is filed under the name Limulus polyphemus (Atlantic horseshoe crab). RNAcentral's name for it is "small ubiquitin-related modifier-like, transcript variant X1". The record is from RNAcentral. Lineage: Eukaryota; Metazoa; Arthropoda; Merostomata; Xiphosura; Limulidae.
UGGCCCGAAACUAAGCAAUUAUGGACUUCUUUUACUAUAUUUGGUGACUUCAAUUUUCUUCAUGUGUAUAUAAUAAAUGAUAGAAUCAGUUGAAAAAUCUACACGGCUUAUUAUUAAUAUUGUACUUUCAUCGCCAAUUUGUUCCUUCAUGAAUCCACUUUCGUCGCCUCACGCGUUUUCUCGCUAACGUCGAAACAAAAGUUUUGUUUGAAAAGCGGCCGGGUUUUAACAUGGCAGAUCGUCAGAAUCAGAAACCGGAAGGGGGUGAUUCAGGAUCAGAAUAUAUUAAACUUAAAGUUGUUGGACAGGACAGCAAUGAAAUUCACUUUAGAGUGAAAAUGACUACUCAGAUGGGUAAACUUAAAAAGUCAUACAGUGAAAGAGUGGGAGUUCCUGUUGGUUCUUUAAGGUUUCUUUUUGAUGGCAGAAGAAUAAAUGAUGAUGAAACACCAAAACAGAUUUAAUCUGAAAACUUUAACAAAUUGUCUUAUGCAUUAAUACAUGUAUCUGAUGAUGUGUGUUAGGCAACAGUGUUCUUACAGAUCCUCGUUUCUCAUAAUUUGUAAAAGUUAGAGAUGGAGAAUGAUGAUGUCAUUGAAGUGUAUCAGGAACAAACGGGUGGUGUUUAGUAGCUGGUCAAACCUCAAAUCAUGUGUUCCAUUUCAUGCUGUAAGCUUUGUUACAAGAUUUCUUCACUUUGGCUUUUUAAAGAGAGAGAUUUUCCAAAGACCUUUUUCCUUUUGAUUUAAAGUAAACUCGUGCUUCAGAAACUAUUAACACAAUUUUCUUUCGUAACUUUGUGUUAUUGAAAUUUUAUUUUUUGUUGCUCGAUUCAGAUACCUUAGCUGGUAUGUGUACAUAAAUAUUUUCUCUAUUUAUGAAACAUCCAAGUAAACAUUAGUUCUGUGUAACAUCAUUGAAACAUUUGUCUUGCUUAGAAAUGAUCAAUCAAGUUUAUUGGUAUUGCUAUGAGAUGUCAAACAUAUAUAUUAGUAAACUUAAAUGACAUUUUGUUUUUGUUUCAGUAUGUUUUUCAAGUAGAGAUUUAUUACAGAUUCUUUUACAUACCCUUUAAACAGUCUGAGUGUAAAAAGCCAAGGAAUAUAGAUAAAACAAAUUCAAAGAAUGUGAUAAUUUGUAAUACUGUUUUCUGUAAUAAAAUAACAUUUUGAUAAACAUUUUAGACUGGAUUAUGUAAAGAGAACAUUGAAAUCAAUUGUGGUUAGAUAUAUUUAUAACCAAUUUAUCUUUAGAAAUUGAACUUUCUAUAUUGCUCUGUCCAAAGUCUUAGCUCAAAGACAUUUUUGGCAAAACCUGUUGUAAAUUGUGAGUGAAGUCUUUUUUUUUGUGUUUGGAUAGAUUAUGUGGUUUAUAAAGAUUCUAUAAUUAAUAUUGCAAGCCAUUCCAUUUUUAUAACAUCAAUCUUUAGUUUCAUAACAUAUUGUUUUGUAAAGAGGAGGAGAUAAAUGAAGAAAUAUUUACAAGUGUAAUUUAAUUUUAAAUGUGAUCGAUGCAACAUUUGAUGCACUUCACAGGUCUUAGGCAUUUUAUUUUUUUUAAAGAACUAGCAUAUGCAAUUUUUUUUUCUAUAUUUUGCUAUCUUUUAAAGAACUACUCAUAUAAAUUUUUGUAAAUAAAUUUUUGAAAGAUAGUUUCUUAAGUACUUACUUGAGCUAAUAAAAAAUGGUCAUUUUUUCACAGAAAAUAUUUUUAGAUAUGUAUUAACACACACAUCAAAUGUUGUAGUUUUUAUUAUGAAACUGUUUUGUCAGUUGCUUUCUUUUAUUUGUAAUCAGCAUCUGUGGAAAUGUUUUGUCUAAAGAUAUCUAUUGUGAAUGUAUAUCAUUUCUGUGAACAUGACAUCAUAUAUAAUGUAUUCUUUAUCAACCUUAGAUAUAUUAUAUCAUUUUACUGAAA